Molecule: ribosomal RNA, 616 nt
Filed under: Ochthebius mediterraneus
Lineage: Eukaryota; Metazoa; Arthropoda; Insecta; Coleoptera; Hydraenidae
Description: partial 16S ribosomal RNA
Rfam family: Bacterial large subunit ribosomal RNA
Source: RNAcentral
GUCUUUUUGAUAAUAAUUUAAAGUCUAACCUGCCCAAUGAUAUAUUUAAUGGCCGCGGUAUUUUGACCGUGCAAAGGUAGCAUAAUCAUUAGUUUUUUAAUUGAAAGCUGGAAUGAAUGGUUGAACGAGAAAAUUACUGUCUCAAUUUAAUUUAAUUAGAAUUUUAUUUUUAAGUUAAAAAGCUUAAAUAUUUUUAAAAGACGAGAAGACCCUAUAGAGUUUAAUAUUUUAUAUAAUUUAAAUUUUUAUAAUUAUAUAAAUUUUAUAAAAUAUUUUAUUGGGGUGAUAAAUAAAUUUAUUAAACUUUAUUUUUAUUUUUACAUUAAUUUAUGAUUUAUUGAUCCAUUAUUUAUGAUUAAAAGAUUAAAUUACCUUAGGGAUAACAGCGUAAUUUUUUUAGAGAGUUCAAAUCGAAAAAAAAGAUUGCGACCUCGAUGUUGGAUUAAAGUUAAUUUUUGGUGUAGAAGCUAAAAAAUUAAGUCUGUUCGACUUUUAAAACUUUACAUGAUCUGAGUUCAGACCGGUGUGAGCCAGGUUGGUUUCUAUCUUUAAAUAAAUAUAAUAUUUUAGUACGAAAGGACCAAAUAUUAGUAAAAUUUAUUUUUUUUAUGAAUAU